Molecule: ribosomal RNA, 465 nt
Filed under: uncultured bacterium
Lineage: Bacteria
Description: partial 16S ribosomal RNA
Rfam family: Bacterial small subunit ribosomal RNA
Source: RNAcentral
CCUACGGGGGGCAGCAGUAGGGAAUCUUCCACAAUGGGCGAAAGUCUGAUGCAGUAACGCCGCGUGGGUGAAGAAGGUCUUCGGAUCGUAAAACCCUGUUGUUAGAGAAGAAAGUGCGUGUGAGUAACUGUUCACGUUUCGACGGUAUCUAACCAGAAAGCCCCGGCUAACUACGUGCCAGCAGCCGCGGUAAUAUGUAGGGGGCAAGCGUUAUCCGGAUUUAUGGGGCGUAAGGGGAACGCAGACGGUCUUUUAAGUCUGAUGUGAAAGCCUUCGGCUUAACCGGUGUAGUGCAUUGGAAACUGGGAGACUUGAGUGCAGAAGAGGAGAGUGGAACUCCAUGUGUAGCGGUGAAAUGCGUAGAUAUAUGGAAGAACACCAGUGGCGAAGGCGACUCUCUGGACUGUAACUGACAUUGAUGCUCGAAAGUGUGGGUAUCAAACAGGAUUAGAUACCCCUGUAGUC